This 305-nucleotide ribosomal RNA is filed under the name uncultured bacterium. RNAcentral's name for it is "bacterial SSU rRNA". It matches the Rfam family "Bacterial small subunit ribosomal RNA", at positions 332 to 633 of the family's 1533-position model. The record is from RNAcentral.
UAGCCUCGGGAGGCAGCCGUGGGGAAUAUUGCGCAAUGGGCGAAAGCCUGACGCAGCGGCGCCGCGUGAGGGAUGAAGGUCUUCGGAUCGUAAACCUCUGUCAGCAGGGAAGAACGGUCACUGUGCUAAUCAGCAGUGAAUUGACGGUACCUGCAAAGGAAGCACCGGCUAACUCCGUGCCAGCAGCCGCGGUAAUACGGAGGGUGCGAGCGUUAAUCGGAAUUACUGGGCGUAAAGCGCUCGUAGGCGGUAUGUCAAGUCAAGGGUGAAAUCCCCGCGCUCAACGUGGGAACUGCCUUUGAGAG